RNAcentral lists this ribosomal RNA (253 nucleotides) under uncultured bacterium. RNAcentral describes it as "partial 16S ribosomal RNA". It matches the Rfam family "Bacterial small subunit ribosomal RNA", at positions 524 to 776 of the family's 1533-position model. The record is from RNAcentral.
UACAGGGGGUGCAAGCGUUGUUCGGAAUUAUUGGGCGUAAAGCGCGUGUAGGCGGACCACUAAGUCUGGUGUGAAAUCCCUCGGCUCAACUGAGGACGUGCAUUGGAUACUGGUGGCCUUGAGUCCUGGAGAGGGUAGCGGAAUUCCCAGUGUAGAGGUGAAAUUCGUAGAUAUUGGGAGGAACACCGGUGGCGAAGGCGGCUACCUGGACAGUGACUGACGCUGAGACGCGAAAGCAUGGGUAGCAAACAGG